GCCACACCCCAUCGCCCUAUAACUGCCCGCAGAUUCUUGAGCUUCAACGACAUGAACUAGGCAUUACCGAAUCUUGAACAGACAGACGUGGGGAAAGAGACAUUAUGAUUUGUUCCGGACGACGGCAGAGAGACAUGACCUCCAUGAUACUUCAUCUGAGACUAUCAACAUGAUACUUCGUCUGAGACUAUCAACAUGAUACUUCGUCUGAGACCAUCAACAUGAUACUUCAUUUGAGACCAUAUGAUUCUUCAUCUGAGAUCAUCAACAUGAUACUUCGUCUGAGACUAUCAACACGAUAUUUCAUCUGAGACCAUCAUUCGUCCACACGGAUUCACACAUAUCAUCAUCCAAGUCAUCAAGACAUACAAUCAAACCUGCCCCAACGACCACCUGUUCAAGACAAUCAAUCACUUGUAUAAACGAGUACAUGUACUUCCACUCCCCAACCCCUGUUUUUUGCGUUUUUACUCUAAUAUUAUAGUGAUACUGUCCAAGACCCCCAUCUGUCUAAGACAAUCACAAUAUUUUUCCUUUACAAUGGAUGGUCGUCUUGGACAGUUUCGACUAUAUUUCGAACCGUUAUUUUGAGUGCAUGCGAACAAUAUAGAACUACAGGGAUACCCGUUGGGUUGACCUGCCACAGAGCAACAGACACUUUCUUUUCGGUAAUACCAGAAAGAAAACAAUUUCUCGGCCAUACAUAUAAUUAAUUACUUAAAUUAUGAUAAUGAACAGCAUUUAUGUCGCAAGAAUUCUUGCUCAACAUCAAACUGUAUGCGCUUUAUAAUCUAUACUACUGUAUAACAUUAUUACCCUGAAGAUCUGAUAGCCUUAUGAAACAAUCUCAAUUUCCUGAGUGCGCAUACAGUGCAAACUGCAUGAUACUUCACGUUUAAUCUAUAUCAUUUCAAAGUCCACAAAAGACACCACCAUUCUGAAGUGACACCAAAAAAAAAA
Aplysia californica (California sea hare) is the source of this 960-nucleotide long non-coding RNA. RefSeq lists it as uncharacterized. Lineage: Eukaryota; Metazoa; Mollusca; Gastropoda; Aplysiida; Aplysiidae. The record is from RefSeq and is a predicted model, not a curated record. The transcript has 2 exons.